This 1968-nucleotide ribosomal RNA is filed under the name human gut metagenome. Its description in RNAcentral is "bacterial LSU rRNA". It matches the Rfam family "Bacterial large subunit ribosomal RNA", at positions 1 to 1983 of the family's 2925-position model. The record is from RNAcentral.
GUAAAUAAUUAAGGGCGUAUGGUGGAUGCCUAGGCUCUCAGAGGCGAUGAAGGACGUGAUAAGCUGCGAAAAGCUCCGUUUAGGUGCAAAUAACCUUUGAUGCGGAGAUCUCCGAAUGGGAUAACCCAAUAUGUUGAAGACAUAUUAUACCGUAAGGUAGGCAAACGCAGGGAACUGAAACAUCUAAGUACCUGCAGGAGAAGAAAACAAACGUGAUUCCCCCAGUAGCGGCGAGCGACCGGGGAAAAGCCCAAACCGUUAUUGUUUCGGCAUUAACGGGGUAGUAGGACUGCAAGCUUGAUGAAAUAAAUGAAAUGGAACACCUUGGAAAAUGUGAUCACAGAGGGUGAUAAUCCCGUACAUGCAAGUUUAUGAAUCAUAGCAGUAUCCUGAGUAAGUCGGGACACGUGUAAUCCUGACCGAAUCCGCCGGGACCAUCCGGCAAGGCUAAAUACUCCUGAGAGACCGAUAGUGAACCAGUACCGUGAGGGAAAGGUGAAAAGCACUUCGAACAGAAGAGUGAAAUAGUCCCUGAACCCAUACGCCUACAAGCUGUCGGAGCCGCUUCGUGCGGUGACGGCGUGCCUUUUGCAUAAUGAGCCUACGAGUUACUCAUCACCAGCGAGGUUAAGUACUUCAGGUACGUAAGCCGAAGCGAAAGCGAGUCUGAAUAGGGCGUCAAGUUGGUGGUGGUAGACGCGAAACCUUAGUGAUCUACCCAUGGGCAGGGUGAAGGUUUGGUAACACAAACUGGAGGCCCGAACCGGUAAACGUUGAAAAGUUUUCGGAUGACCUGUGGGUAGGGGUGAAAGGCCAAUCAAACUGGGAAAUAGCUCGUACUCUCCGAAAUGCAUUUAGGUGCAGCCUCUGUUGUUUUGUUCUAGAGGUAGAGCUACUGAUUGGAUGCGAGGGCUUCACCGCCUAUCAAAUCCGGCCAAACUCCGAAUGCUAGAACAUGAAGACAGGGAGUGAGCCAGCGGGUGCUAAGGUCCGUUGACGAAAGAGGGAGAACUCAGACCAUCAGCUAAGGUCCCCAAUUAUAUGCUAAGUUGGAAUUAAAACGGGGUGGGACUGCUUAGACAGCUAGGAUGUUGGCUUGGAAGCAGCCAUUCAUUUAAAGAGUGCGUAACAGCUCACUAGUCGAGCGGUCCUGCAUGGAUAAUACGCGGGCAUAAGCAUAUAACCGAAGCUAUGGGAUUGUAGAUGAUACAAUCGGUAGGAGAGCAUUCCAUUCAGCAUAGAAGCAGUAUCGUGAGGUAUUGUGGAGCGGAUGGAAAAGCAAAUGUAGGCAUAAGUAACGAUAAUGCGGGUGAGAACCCCGCACGCCGAAAGAUCAAGGAUUCCCCGGCAAUGUCAAUCAUCCGGGGGUAAGUCGGAUCCUAAGGGUAAGCCGAGUGGCGAUCCCGAUGGCAAACAGGUUAAUAUUCCUGUACUGAUCAUAACUGCGAUGCAGCGACGCAGAGGUGACACUGCUGCGUACUGACGGAAUAGUACGUUGAAACCCGUAUUCUUUGAUACCGGUAGUGAAGCACGCCGGUAGAGAUGAAAGGUGAUAGUACCGCAAUGCUUCGGUUGCGCGGAUAACGCAGGUAAGCUGACUGCCAAGAAAACCUGCUAAGCUUCAGGUAAUGAUCAUCCGUACUGUAAACGGACACACGUGAUCAGGUAGAAAAUACUAAGGCGCUCGAGAGAUUCAUGGUUAAGGAACUAGGCAAAAUGGUCCUGUAACUUCGGGAUAAAGGACGCUCUUGUGAAAGAGCCGCAGAUAAUAGGCCCAGGCGACUGUUUACCAAAAACACAUGGCUAUGCUAAUUCGCAAGAAGAUGUAUAUGGCCUGACACCUGCCCGGUGCCGGAAGGUUAAGAGGAGAGCUCAGAGGUAACUCGAAGGUUUGAAUUGAAGCCCCGGUAAACGGCGGCCGUAACUAUAACGGUCCUAAGGUAGCGAAAUUCCUUGUCGGGUAAGUUC